CCCUAGCUGACACUGGGAGAUGGUAUAGAACUUUCCAGCCAAGUUCAAAAAGUCAGCAGUUGGGAAGCAAAAGGUUCUUUGCUCCAUGAGCUGAGAGGAGAGAUAUCAUGAUUGCAACUCCUGCCUUCUUUCUAUCAGUUGGGGUCCAAAAGGUCUUACUCCAUCCGUUCAUUCUGACCUUGUGAGUAUCUACCAACCUCAUGUGUGUUUUUUGAAGACAACAUAUGGUAGGGUUUUGGAUUCUAAUCCAUUCUGCUAUUCAUCUACAUUU
This 271-nucleotide long non-coding RNA is filed under the name Monodelphis domestica (gray short-tailed opossum). Its description in RNAcentral is "lncRNA (ENSMODG00000051375.1)". The record is from RNAcentral. Lineage: Eukaryota; Metazoa; Chordata; Mammalia; Didelphimorphia; Didelphidae.